UACGGGGGGAGCAAGCGUUGUUCGGAUUUACUGGGCGUAAAGGGCGCGUAGGCGGUCAGCACAAGUCAGUUGUGAAAUCUCCGGGCUUAACUCGGAAAGGUCAACUGAUACUGUGCGACUAGAGUGCGGAAGGGGCAACUGGAAUUCUCGGUGUAGCGGUGAAUGCGUAGAUAUCGAGAGGAACACCUGCGGCGAAGGCGGGUUGCUGGGCCGACACUGACGCUGAUGCGCGAAAGCCAGGGGAGCGAACGGG
Molecule: ribosomal RNA, 253 nt
Filed under: uncultured bacterium
Lineage: Bacteria
Description: partial 16S ribosomal RNA
Rfam family: Bacterial small subunit ribosomal RNA
Source: RNAcentral